RNAcentral lists this ribosomal RNA (466 nucleotides) under uncultured bacterium. RNAcentral's name for it is "partial 16S ribosomal RNA". It matches the Rfam family "Bacterial small subunit ribosomal RNA", at positions 28 to 507 of the family's 1533-position model. The record is from RNAcentral.
GAUGAACGCUGGCGGCGUGCUUAACACAUGCAAGUCGAACGAUGAAGCCCAGCUUGCUGGGUGGAUUAGUGGCGAACGGGUGAGUAACACGUGAGUAACCUGCCCUUAACUCUGGGAUAAGCCUGGGAAACUGGGUCUAAUACCGGAUAGGAGCGUCCACCGCAUGGUGGGUGUUGGAAAGAUUUAUCGGUUUUGGAUGGACUCGCGGCCUAUCAGCUUGUUGGUGAGGUAAUGGCUCACCAAGGCGACGACGGGUAGCCGGCCUGAGAGGGUGACCGGCCACACUGGGACUGAGACACGGCCCAGACUCCUACGGGAGGCAGCAGUGGGGAAUAUUGCACAAUGGGCGCAAGCCUGAUGCAGCGACGCCGCGUGAGGGACGACGGCCUUCGGGUUGUAAACCUCUUUCAGUAGGGAAGAAGCGAAAGUGACGGUACCUGCAGAAGAAGCACCGGCUAACUACGUG